ACAGGAAGGGGUACAUACCUGCCAAGGAUCGCACUGGUAUCAGUCAGAGGACAGCCUUUGUGAAGAUCAUUCAUGGACUUCCUCAUGAGGUUUGGCUCCCUUAUGUUUCUUUAUGGAGAGAAGGAGAGCUCUUGUGACAGCCCUCAGCCCCCAUCCCUCCCAGAGGAUCUACAAGCAAUUAACGGUUGUUGAAGGAAGAGGAGACAUUUCUUUGGUGUUAUAACUGUCUGUUGUUAAUUGCCCACGCCCCUUUGGGUAAGCACUUACUCUCUUCUAAGCAGCCCAGUUCAAUUAAACUUAUUGUGUUAAGAUCA
Molecule: long non-coding RNA, 314 nt
Organism: Psammomys obesus (fat sand rat)
Lineage: Eukaryota; Metazoa; Chordata; Mammalia; Rodentia; Muridae
Exons: 2
Source: RefSeq, a predicted model, not a curated record